Molecule: ribosomal RNA, 1839 nt
Filed under: Salmonella enterica subsp. enterica serovar Stanley
Lineage: Bacteria; Pseudomonadati; Pseudomonadota; Gammaproteobacteria; Enterobacterales; Enterobacteriaceae
Description: partial 23S ribosomal RNA
Rfam family: Bacterial large subunit ribosomal RNA
Source: RNAcentral
CGCGCGAUACAGGGUGACAGCCCCGUACACAAAAGCGCAUGUGUUGUGAGCUCGAUGAGUAGGGCGGGACACGUGGUAUCCUGUCUGAAUAUGGGGGGACCAUCCUCCAAGGCUAAAUACUCCUGACUGACCGAUAGUGAACCAGUACCGUGAGGGAAAGGCGAAAAGAACCCCGGCGAGGGGAGUGAAAAAGAACCUGAAACCGUGUACGUACAAGCAGUGGGAGCACCCUUCGGGGUGUGACUGCGUACCUUUUGUAUAAUGGGUCAGCGACUUAUAUUCUGUAGCAAGGUUAACCGAAUAGGGGAGCCGGAGGGAAACCGAGUCUUAAUUGGGCGUUAAGUUGCAGGGUAUAGACCCGAAACCCGGUGAUCUAGCCAUGGGCAGGUUGAAGGUUGGGUAACACUAACUGGAGGACCGAACCGACUAAUGUUGAAAAAUUAGCGGAUGACCUGUGGCUGGGGGUGAAAGGCCAAUCAAACCGGGAGAUAGCUGGUUCUCCCCGAAAGCUAUUUAGGUAGCGCCUCGUGAAUUCAUCUCCGGGGGUAGAGCACUGUUUCGGCUAGGGGGCCAUCCCGGCUUACCAACCCGAUGCAAACUGCGAAUACCGGAGAAUGUUAUCACGGGAGACACACGGCGGGUGCUAACGUCCGUCGUGAAGAGGGAAACAACCCAGACCGCCAGCUAAGGUCCCAAAGUCAUGGUUAAGUGGGAAACGAUGUGGGAAGGCCCAGACAGCCAGGAUGUUGGCUUAGAAGCAGCCAUCAUUUAAAGAAAGCGUAAUAGCUCACUGGUCGAGUCGGCCUGCGCGGAAGAUGUAACGGGGCUAAACCAUGCACCGAAGCUGCGGCAGCGACACUGUGUGUUGUUGGGUAGGGGAGCGUUCUGUAAGCCUGUGAAGGUGUGUCGUGAGGCAUGCUGGAGGUAUCAGAAGUGCGAAUGCUGACAUAAGUAACGAUAAAGCGGGUGAAAAGCCCGCUCGCCGGAAGACCAAGGGUUCCUGUCCAACGUUAAUCGGGGCAGGGUGAGUCGACCCCUAAGGCGAGGCCGAAAGGCGUAGUCGAUGGGAAACGGGUUAAUAUUCCCGUACUUGGUGUUACUGCGAAGGGGGGACGGAGAAGGCUAUGUUGGCCGGGCGACGGUUGUCCCGGUUUAAGCGUGUAGGUGUGUGUUCCAGGUAAAUCCGGUUCACUUUAACACUGAGGCGUGACGACGAGGCACUACGGUGCUGAAGCAACAAAUGCCCUGCUUCCAGGAAAAGCCUCUAAGCAUCAGGUAACAUCAAAUCGUACCCCAAACCGACACAGGUGGUCAGGUAGAGAAUACCAAGGCGCUUGAGAGAACUCGGGUGAAGGAACUAGGCAAAAUGGUGCCGUAACUUCGGGAGAAGGCACGCUGACACGUAGGUGAAGUGAUUUACUCAUGGAGCUGAAGUCAGUCGAAGAUACCAGCUGGCUGCAACUGUUUAUUAAAAACACAGCACUGUGCAAACACGAAAGUGGACGUAUACGGUGUGACGCCUGCCCGGUGCCGGAAGGUUAAUUGAUGGGGUCAGCGCAAGCGAAGCUCCUGAUCGAAGCCCCGGUAAACGGCGGCCGUAACUAUAACGGUCCUAAGGUAGCGAAAUUCCUUGUCGGGUAAGUUCCGACCUGCACGAAUGGCGUAAUGAUGGCCAGGCUGUCUCCACCCGAGACUCAGUGAAAUUGAACUCGCUGUGAAGAUGCAGUGUACCCGCGGCAAGACGGAAAGACCCCGUGAACCUUUACUAUAGCUUGACACUGAACAUUGAGCCUUGAUGUGUAGGAUAGGUGGGAGGCUUUGAAGCGUGGACGCCAGUCU